Molecule: unclassified non-coding RNA, 211 nt
Filed under: Hevea brasiliensis (rubber tree)
Lineage: Eukaryota; Viridiplantae; Streptophyta; Magnoliopsida; Malpighiales; Euphorbiaceae
Source: RNAcentral
AUUAACCGAGUUGACGUUUUUGAAGUUCCAAUCAUUUGUCACCGUUGAUUGCAGGUUUAUCAUCCUCGUCAUCUUCAAUCUUUUCCAAGCGAGCAGCAGCGGUACUUCUAUCUGCUGAUGGCCCAUUCUCCUUCACGAUGUCACUUGAACCAGUGUGCAACACAUUUUCCUUAAAGGAUUUGUUGUGAGGAGCUGGGGCUUUGGCUUCAGG